This 70-nucleotide transfer RNA is filed under the name Scoparipes salvazai. Its description in RNAcentral is "tRNA-Asn". Lineage: Eukaryota; Metazoa; Arthropoda; Insecta; Hemiptera; Cydnidae. The record is from RNAcentral.
UUAAUUGAAGCCAAAGAAGAGGCCUUUCAUUGUUAAUGAAACUACUGGUUAACAUAAUAACCCAAUUAAA